UAACACCAGCACGCCUCUCUCUAGCUCUCAAUUUAAUUCGUUGUUGUAACUAUUACAACUUGCUGGAGCUUUUUAAUUUGAAGUUUACUCUUCUCCAAAACCUCCCAUUUUCUAUAGCCCUCAAUUUAAUUAGCUGCAACGAAUGUAUGGAAAGGAUUUUAGUCAUUUUGAACCUCCCAUAAAAGGAUUUUAGAAAAUGGGAGGAUUUUCUAUAAACCUCCCAUUUUCUGAACUGAAGUUUACAGUCGUAUGUGAUAAUUAGAUCGUCAUCUUGGCACUAUACCUUCCCUCCCUGAGUUUCGCUGCAAUGAACUGCAAUGUAUGAACCCUUAUAACAUGAACCGUGGCUCUUAUGUUUUUUGAUAUUUUUGAUCCCAGGUUAUCAUCUUCCUAGGUUUCUCUACUUCUUUCUUCUCUCAAGUCUCAAGACUCCCAGGGGUGAUGUUAAGCUAAUAACAACAUGGUUUUUCAUGAUAAAAGAAUUUGAAAAGUUGAAGAUGAUUUGAGGGUGUUUGAUUGUUGGUCGUUUCUUUUGUAGCUUCAUGUUUGAUGGAAAUUAUAUGUGAAGGGAAAUUAAAACACUGUAAUUUGACAUGAGUUAUAUGUGAGCUAACUUGAUCCUCUUCCUGAUGCUCAUAAGAUGCUUAAGAAAUAUGGAUCUGUCCUGGCAUAUGAUGACGCGCCUAUAGUGAAUUAUGGAACAGGCAGAUAUUUGUGUGCUUUAACUUUUACAUAUUAUGAGAUCUCAAUUUGAGUGGGACGGAAGGCACAAUUUGAGCUCAAGGCUACGAUAUAGUAAUUGACAUAUUGGUUACUUUUUAGUUCCUCAUUUAUUCUUUCGUUCUACGUUCUUAUAUGAUUUGUAUGAGCGUAAGUUUUAUCAAAUACAGGAGUUCUAAGCCUCCAGUGUUGUAGUAGCUUAAGUCUAUCUUAUGUGUUUCAUAUUAUGUUUUUUUGACUCUA
This is a long non-coding RNA of Papaver somniferum (opium poppy), 963 nucleotides long. RefSeq lists it as uncharacterized. The transcript is spliced from 4 exons. Lineage: Eukaryota; Viridiplantae; Streptophyta; Magnoliopsida; Ranunculales; Papaveraceae. The record is from RefSeq and is a predicted model, not a curated record.